Molecule: long non-coding RNA, 746 nt
Filed under: Rattus norvegicus (Norway rat)
Lineage: Eukaryota; Metazoa; Chordata; Mammalia; Rodentia; Muridae
Description: long non-coding RNA NONRATT024560
Source: RNAcentral
AUCUCCGCUGUGGGGGCAGUUACUGCCCUAUGGGACUUAAUUCGCCUUCACCAGGCAAUAUGAUUAAUUGGUCCAUUUUACAGAUAGGCUAAUAGAGACACCUGGAGUAAGAGACGUAUGAACAGUACUUCUCAUAGAUGAGCUUUUAAGUGAUUCCGAUACUCAGUCCCACCUGACUCUCAGAACCACAACAGGACAGGCAAGAUCCCAUACAAAACGGCCACGGCAGAUCCCCGAGUAUCAGGAAGCUCCACCACUCGCAGGAGAGGCAUUUCAAGAUGGUGGCUACCACACAGGUGCUGGUUUCCUAUGUGGGUUGUUGGAGAGCCACGAAGGAAGGUUGCUAGAUCCAAGCCCAGAGCUGGGUGUACGCAGAUGCGAGACCUCGUGCAGACCUCUCUGAGGACGCUAAGAGCUAGUGGUGCGAAGGAUAAUGGAAGGUGCAUGAGACCAUGGAACAAACUCUCAGAAACCGUGAGUCAAAAUAAGCCUCCCAUCCUCUUUGGGUCCUUCACAGUAAGCCAGGGUUGCUGCUGAAAACAGAAGCCGAGAGGCACAGAACAUUCUCCACAGGUCCCCGUGGUCACCUGGGCAAGCCUGUUGGCACCUUGGCUUUGGAAUCCCGGGGUCCGGAACGGUUCCCACCUGUCAGUCUGAAUGCUUCGUCCUGGCAGCACUAGGAAAGGAUUGCCACACACCUGUGCAAGGAAGAUGCAACUGACCCAAGGCCAGAAAAAGUAGAACAC